AUACGUAGGUGACAAGCGUUAUCCGGAUUUACUGGGCGUAAAGGGCGUGUAGGCGGUCUUGCAAGUCGGAAGUGAAAUUCCUGAGCUCAACUCGGGCGCUGCUUCUGAAACUGCAGGACUUGAGUGCUGGAGGGGAUAGCGGAAUUCCUAGUGGAGCGGUAAAAUGCGCAGAUAUUAGGAAGAACACCGGUGGCGAAGGCGGCUAUCUGGACAGUAACUGACGCUGAGGCGCGAAAGCGUGGGGAGCAAACAGGAUUAGAUACCCUGGUAUUCCACGCCGUAAACGAUGAAUACUAGGUGUAGGGGGUAUCGACUCCCUCUGUGCCGCAGUUAACACAAUAAGUAUUCCGCCUGGGGAGUACGGCCGCAAGGUUGAAACUUAAAGGAAUUGACGGGG
This 397-nucleotide ribosomal RNA is filed under the name uncultured bacterium. RNAcentral describes it as "partial 16S ribosomal RNA". It matches the Rfam family "Bacterial small subunit ribosomal RNA", at positions 523 to 918 of the family's 1533-position model. The record is from RNAcentral.